This is a long non-coding RNA of Cavia porcellus (domestic guinea pig), 747 nucleotides long. RefSeq lists it as uncharacterized. The transcript has 2 exons. NCBI's taxonomy places the organism in Eukaryota, Metazoa, Chordata, Mammalia, Rodentia, Caviidae. The record is from RefSeq and is a predicted model, not a curated record.
CGUUGAAGGACCGCCCUGCGCCCAUUCGCCCGUGGGUUUCAAGGUCCCGGGUUGGCUAGGCGGGCCGAGGAAUGGGGGUGCAGGGAUUGGCUGAGGGGGGGACAUUGGGGUGGGGCAGCUGAGAGCCGCCCGGCGAUUGGGUAGGUAUAGUAAGGGCUUUGCGCCCAGACCGGCUGAGCGCGAGGAAGAGGGUGGGCCGGAGGAAGCGACUUGAAUGGCGAAGGCGGCUAGGUACCAGGCGGUCGGCUGGAAGGACCUUGAGGACCACGUGAUUCAACCGCCAGCGUGCGGUGCGGACGCCCAGAGAGGGUAUGCAGCUGGCCCAAGGUCACACAGCCGGUUAGUGACUCGGUCCGGCCUGGGCUCCCGCGCUGCCGAUGCCCUCGGCCCUCGCGCAGCAUCGCCCCACGCGGUCGCCUUGGGCCCGAGCAUAGGGUCUGCGACUCGCGUUGUCACAGUAGAGUCCCGCAUAGGACCGGGUUUAAACCCACCGUCCCCUGUCAUCAGGGACCUGAUGGAACAGAAAUGAUUCAUCUCUUGUCCCGCGCCGCUUUCCUAUAAAGACACAAUUUUUUAUUUUAUUUUGCCUUUUUGAGACAGACUCUCGCUGUGUCGUUCAGGGUGGCCUUGAGCUCACUUUGUAGCUCAGGCUGGUCUCGUACUUGCAGCGAUCCUUCUGCCUCAGCCUCCCGAGUGCUGGAAUAAAAGCACGAUCCUAAGCCACAAUAAAUGUGUUCUGCCAAAAAG